Molecule: ribosomal RNA, 227 nt
Filed under: uncultured bacterium
Lineage: Bacteria
Description: partial 16S ribosomal RNA
Rfam family: Bacterial small subunit ribosomal RNA
Source: RNAcentral
AACGAACGCUGGCGGCGUGCCUAACACAUGCAAGUCGAGCGAGAAAGUCUUCGGACGAGUAAAGCGGCGGACGGGUGAGUAAUACCUAGGUAAUCUACCUUUUGGUGCGGAAUAACUAUGCGAAAGCGUAGCUAAUACCGCAUGUGGUUUCAGAUCGUUGGAUCUGAAAAAGAAGGGGGGUCUAAGAUCUCUCGCCAGAUGAUGAGCCUGGGCCCGAUUAGCUAGUU